UACGGAAGGCAGCAGUGGGGAAUAUUGCACAAUGGGCGCAAGCCUGAUGCAGCCAUGCCGCGUGUAUGAAAAAGGCCUUCGGGUUGUAAAGUACUUUCAGUCGUGAGGAAGGUGUUAAGGUUAAUAACCUUAGCAAUUGACGUUAGCGACAGAAGAAGCACCGGCUAACUCCGUGCCAGCAGCCGCGGUAAUACGGAGGGUGCGAGCGUUAAUCGGAAUUACUGGGCGUAAAGGGCACGCAGGCGGUUAAUUAAGUUGGAUGUGAAUCCCCGGGCUUAACCUGGGAAUGGCAUUCAAGACUGGUUAGCUAGAGUCUUGUAGAGGGGGUUAGAAUUCCAUGUGUAGCGGUGAAAUGCGUAGAGAUGUGGAGGAAUACCGGUGGCGAAGGCGGCCCCUGGACAAAGACUGACGCUCAUGUGCGAAAGCGUGGGGAGCAAACAGGGAUUAGAUACC
RNAcentral lists this ribosomal RNA (453 nucleotides) under uncultured bacterium. RNAcentral describes it as "bacterial SSU rRNA". It matches the Rfam family "Bacterial small subunit ribosomal RNA", at positions 340 to 786 of the family's 1533-position model. The record is from RNAcentral.